GGCUGUUGAGGACUUGAUAGAAAAAAAAGUUUGGCAAGGCCUGGGGGAGGGGCUACUUUAUUGAUGUACUUGGACUUUAAGGAAAGGCCCUUUGGAUUGUCACGAUGUUGCCUCAAUGCGAAGACUGACUGACUAAGUAAGAACCAGUCCUGCUGGAAGCCGCCUUCUUGUUCUUGUAGCUGAUGGCCGUGCUGCCGGCGAUGGACGGCUUCCAAAAAAAGACAAUGGAAAGGAAACACGUUCAGUUGCUGAGAGAGAGUGAAGAAAUAAUGUCCCAGAGACACAAUCCCUUUCCUCCUGGACCUGACGUAUUCGGGAGACACUUCGCUGGGUCCUUGACUCAAAACAUCUGUGGUCACCAACGAUGCAGGGAAAACAAUCACAGGGGAAUAAACAACAGGAGUUCAAAAGGGUAGGGAGGAAGCGCAGAGGACAGGGUCAUUCAGGCGUUGCAAACCUGCUGCUGUCUCUAGAAAGGUCUCUUGAUAUUUCACCUGGCGAUUUACGGUCCAUCUGGCUUCAGCCACUUCAGUGCUGCGGGAACACGUGACCAUGGUUGGCCCCACUGCCACGGAUUCAAUUGUGUCUAUACCUCACCAAACCCUGAAAUAAAUCACCAGCUUGCUCCUCCUGGCUAUCACAAAGCCAAACACGCCAUCUGUCCAACACACACAUCUCCUGGCUAGCAUCUUGCCCUCCGACUAGAGCAACCAUCUGAAAGAAUAUUCAGUGCUGCAGGAGAUACAGACUCUUAGUAUAGGUCAUACCUAAAACAUGAGUCAGCCCCUCAGCUGGCCUCCCAAGGUCAGUCUAUCUCUGCUAAGGUCCUCAAAUUAACAACCGGUUAAAGGAAACAUGACUUGGGAUGAACUCAGCAGGAUGUUUUCAAGCUUUACAAGAGAACAUUCUGUGGUUAAGUAAGGCUUCAGGCCUGCCCUGCGCUGGAGUCUACCUGAGUUGUUCUUUGGUACGUCAGUUUUCAGGAAAAGUUCGACUAUUGGGACAGUCUUCUUGUCGUCUUUGCAUCUUUGUUAGCAAUCCAAACACUGCUGGGGAAUUCAACCAGGAAAAAGAGGGAGCAGAACCCAGGAUUGGUCAGUGAUGGAGUCCCCACCUCACCUGUGACCCGACAGCCGAAGAGCUCCAGGCGGAGCGCAAUGCCUGAGUGCCAGGUCUGUGGACGGAUCCGGAUGAACCUCGUUAACAGCGGCAUGUGGAGUUUGUUCAGAACGACCUCGGUGGCAUCAUUGUUGGCUUGGAAUACCUGCAACAGAAGACAUGAAAAGUUCUUUGCUGAAGGAGCAUCAUCCCCACUGCCUCAACAGUACUGGGGUUUGAACCCAGGGCCUCAUGCAUGCUCGGCAGGCACUCUACCACUAAGCUAUAUCCUCAGCACCUAUCAUCUUCCUUAAAAUUUGUACACAUCUCUCACUCUGAGUGUGGUAAAGAGGACAAAAUAAAAUAAGACCCACUGCUGAAUCAAGAGAAGGAGCCAAAUUCUGUUACUAAUUAGCUCAGAAGAAUCACCCUUCCUAUGUUUUCUGAUCAAAUUCCCUGAGAUGGAUUCUUGGCUUCCAGUCUAGGCACUGCAAGGUAAGGGGUUGUGUGCAUGGGAAAUGAUGCCAGGAAAUUGGUUUUAUUUCCUAUUCUCUGCCGACUCACUGAAUCACUACAGGAAAAUCAAUAAACCUUUGAUACCUUGGUUUCUCUUGCAGGAAAAUGUUGAUAAUAGGCCCACAGAUGAACACUAGAGUUUACCAUCACUUUCAGCUGGCUUGAAUGCCUGCACAACACCCAACAAAUGGGUUCUUGGCCAACUGGAAGAGUUCAGGUUCUGAAAGCCAUUGAUUCCCAAGUCCCAUCUUGAGGCUCCAAAUUUUUAGGUCAUCACUUUGCAGUGACAUGUUCAGAAUGCUGAGAAAAAUCAGUGGAUCUAUAUAUAUUAUACCCAGAGCAUCCAUAUAUAUAUAUAUUAUCUCUAGACAGGCAUAUAUCAAAAACAAUGAUCAAAUUUAAACAUCUGUUUUAAAAGCUGGAAGUCAGAGAGUAUACAUAUUUCUAUUCAUUUUAAAGAAAAAUACUACUCUGGUUGUUGGACAAUCAGGAGUAUGUUCAAGGUGACCCUAGGGAUAGGAUUCUGGGGAUAGGAUUAAUUAUGUUGUAAUUAUUUAAUAUGCAUAAGGGUAUAUUUGCUAAAAAGAAGAAGUUAUGUUGGGCAUAAAGAUUUCUUUAAGUGCAUCUCUGCAAACCAAGUUGAAAAAACAAUUCAGGGCACAAAGUGGUCUGGAUAAUCCACUUGGUGCCUCACUGAAUUCUGAACAUAAUCCAACAUUUUCCAAUUGAUUCUUGAGACCUUUGUUUUAUUUUCGGUAAGACAGAAUCUGAAAACCAGCAGCAUUUCAUGGAUUUUCUGAUUUGCACCUCUGGGGAAGGGGGUAUCUGCCAAGUAAAUCGGCUGCUCUCCAACACCCUAGUUGGGUUGUUAUCUACACCCCCUAGGAAAGAUAAUCAGCAUGUGCUGACUAGGCCCAUGCAUCCACGAGCCAGGAACUACAUGGACUAUUUGAAACAGUGUAAAAUAAAAACUUUUUUUUCUUAUAUAUAUAAUAAGAAACAUCUAGCUAGAAAGCACCACUGAUGUUUUUUAAGGUCAUCUUUUCCCUGUUUCUCACCCACUUUUAGUCAUAGCGAACCCUCUUCUGCUGACCCCUUCCUUAAAUCUUGUGUGAACAGCACACACAGACUUUGGCCCCACUGAGAACAGUGCACACUGUGUCCUGCUGCCUCCUGAGGUUCUAGGCAGGGGGCUUUUCUGCCUCACCUAAUUCCCUUUCCUAUAUACUGUUCAUCUUUGCUAUUAGCAUCCAAGUACCCUGCAAAGUAAAGAUGCUACAUGUCAUCAAUCUUGCCUCAGAGGCCAAUGAGAAGAUUCUGGCAAAUUCUCUGAGCUCCUUGGAGCAGAGGCCCCAUGAAGACUCCGGCAUUAACCUGCCUAUUUAACCUUCCUAAGUGAAGUGGCGCCUUCAGUGGACAGAUGCAGUCCCUCCUUACGUCUCCUGCAUCCAAUCUGAGUUGGGCUUUGGAAUUCCAUGUGCACAUGCCUUGUCCCUUCACUACUACUAUGGUGUUAUCUACUGUUCACCUCAAUCUUGCUGUAAAUAUCUGAAUUCCUCCAGCCCCAGGGACUGCAAAGAAAGCAGGAAAAUUUUUCAAAGACAACACAGUGCAGGAGCCCUGAGGUAGAAAUUGUGCAUGAGAUGUUCUUCUGCUUUUUAAAAAAAUAAAUAUUUCUCUCCACUAAUAAAUGUUUCAUUACAUCCAAAGUUCUCCUUUUCAAUCUACUUGGCACAGACAUUCAAGGAGGAGGAGAACAAAGCAGGCAGAAAAGAAGGGUGGCGGGAACGGUGGGCAGAGACUGGGGAAACCACUGUCAUGUUCUGAACAUGAGUCUCAGAAACAAUUGCACCAACUCAUCCCGAUGCCAAGACCCAGAGCCUGUCCUCCCCUCCCCCACCCGCCCUCAAAUUUCCUCUAAAACCAGCCAUGGGUCUACACAUAAAAAUAAAUUGUUAAUCAAUGGAUGCCAUCCUAUUUAAUUAAUUUGUUGCACCUAACCGGCAAGGUGGGAGUAGGGGGCCAUUGCACUGGGGAAAAAUGAUGUUAAGGUAAUGGGCUCUCCCACUCCUCCCUGUUUGUAAAUCAUGGUCUUGACAUUUCUCUCUGAAAACUCCCCCUUUAAGACUAUAGAAUUUUUUUUUUAAAGCUGCCUUCAUUCUAGUGGAUAUGGGAAUUCAGCCAGACACAGAAUCAGAAGGGGUGUGUGUCUG
Molecule: long non-coding RNA, 3827 nt
Organism: Marmota monax (woodchuck)
Lineage: Eukaryota; Metazoa; Chordata; Mammalia; Rodentia; Sciuridae
Exons: 4
Source: RefSeq, a predicted model, not a curated record